This 252-nucleotide long non-coding RNA is filed under the name Fukomys damarensis (Damara mole-rat). Its description in RNAcentral is "lncRNA (ENSFDAG00000023172.1)". The record is from RNAcentral. Lineage: Eukaryota; Metazoa; Chordata; Mammalia; Rodentia; Bathyergidae.
GCAAGCAGAAGUGAAAGAGUACUGUGGGAAAUGGAGGAGCUCUUUAGCUGGUCCCCAUCACCUGUCCAGCAUCCUGUGGGCCAGCGCCCGGUGGUUGGGUGUGGAGAAAUGGCACUCUCAGCUUCACCUGGAGAGGCAUCUAUGAUCUUGAAAACAUGAGUGUGACAACCGUGACACCUGUGGGGAAGAAGGCGCAGGACCAAGAGCAGAGGACAGGAGGAUGUUGACUGUGGGAGAGAUGAGGAGCAAAGC